Molecule: ribosomal RNA, 300 nt
Filed under: Serratia sp. CAS47
Lineage: Bacteria; Pseudomonadati; Pseudomonadota; Gammaproteobacteria; Enterobacterales; Yersiniaceae
Description: bacterial SSU rRNA
Rfam family: Bacterial small subunit ribosomal RNA
Source: RNAcentral
ACGCGAAGAACCUUACCUACUCUUGACAUCCAGAGAACUUUCCAGAGAUGGAUUGGUGCCUUCGGGAACUGUGAGACAGGUGCUGCAUGGCAGUCGUCAGGUCGUGUUGUGAAAUGUUGGGUUAAGUCCCGCAACGAGCGCAACCCUUAUCCUUUGUUGCCAGCGGUUCGGCCGGGAACUCAAAGGAGACUGCCAGUGAUAAACUGGAGGAAGGUGGGGAUGACGUCAAGUCAUCAUGCCCUUACGAGUAGGGCUACACACGUGCUACAAUGGCCAUAUUCAAGGAGAAGCGACCUCGCG